CUCCUCCGCAAGGCCCAGGUCGAGGAGUUCUACGUCAUCACCUGGACCUCCCCCAAGGAGCAGGUGUUCGAGAUGCCCACCGGCGGCGCCGCCAUCAUGCGCGAGGGCCCCAACCUCCUCAAGCUCGCCCGCAAGGAGCAGUGCCUCGCCCUCGGCAACCGCCUCCGCUCCAAGUACAAGAUCGCCUACCAGUUCUACCGCGUCUUCCCCAACGGCGAGGUGCAGUACCUCCACCCCAAGGACGGCGUCUACCCGGAGAAGGUCAACGCCGGCAGGCAGGGCGUGGGGCAGAACUUCCGCAGCAUCGGCAAGAACGUCAGCCCCAUCGAGGUCAAGUUCACCGGCAAGAACUCCUUCGACAUCUAAUCUCGUACGUCGUAUAUGCGUACGUGCUAGUUCAUCGACCGGUAGUUAUUGGCGGGUGGCGAUGAUGAUGGACGUCCUGUAAUUUUAAUUGUCGAGUUUGAAUGAUGGAUUCGAUCGGUGAUAAUGAUGCAUCAGGUUAUAUGUACAUGGUAAUUUGAUGAUGAUACUGCUGUAUGUUAACGUUGUUCAUAUGCAUGAUCGGCUUCUUUUUAUGUUGAUGAUGAGUAGUAUUUUGUUUGUUACACGCGUACACGCUUUUUUGUCGUUUUGGCCAGAGAUGAAGCAUACGAUGUUUAAACCAUUCAACCUAGCACAUAAGCACGGUAACCCGUGUGGGCAACGCCUUCUCUACGUAUUGUUUUUGUGAAAGUAAUUACUGAAGAUAAGAUUUAUGCUAAAUCAGUU
This 771-nucleotide long non-coding RNA is filed under the name Triticum aestivum (bread wheat). RNAcentral's name for it is "long non-coding RNA (TAES_LNC009324)". The record is from RNAcentral. Lineage: Eukaryota; Viridiplantae; Streptophyta; Magnoliopsida; Poales; Poaceae.